This 240-nucleotide unclassified non-coding RNA is filed under the name soil metagenome. RNAcentral's name for it is "partial contains 5.8S ribosomal RNA, internal transcribed spacer 2, and large subunit ribosomal RNA". The record is from RNAcentral.
AACCAUAGAAACCUGCGGAGUACCUGCGGAAGGAUCAUUACAGAGUUGCAAAACUCCCACAAACCAUCGCGAAUCUUACCCGUACGGUUGCCUCGGCGCUGGCGGUCCGGAAGGCCCUCAGGCCCCCGGACCCUCGGGUCCCCCGCUCGCGGGGGGCUGCCCGCCGGAGUGCCGAAACCAAACUCUUGAUAUUUUAUGUCUCUCUGAGUAAACUUUUAAAUAAGUCAAAACUUUCAACAA